GCCCCCGUAGCUCAGUGGAUAGAGCGGCGGCCUUCUAAUCCGCGGGUCACAGGUUCGAAUCCUGUCGGGGGCG
This 73-nucleotide transfer RNA is filed under the name Microbacterium sp. Its description in RNAcentral is "tRNA-Arg". It matches the Rfam family "tRNA". From Rfam's summary of the family: Transfer RNA (tRNA) molecules are approximately 80 nucleotides in length. Their secondary structure includes four short double-helical elements and three loops (D, anti-codon, and T loops). The record is from RNAcentral. Lineage: Bacteria; Bacillati; Actinomycetota; Actinomycetes; Micrococcales; Microbacteriaceae. RNAcentral also lists the same sequence under 1 other name.